UGGGGGAUAUUGCACAAUGGGCGAAAGCCUGAUGCAGCGACGCCGCGUGGGGGAUGAAGGCUUUCGGGUUGUAAACCUCUUUCGCUAUCGAACAAGGCCCGCUUAGGGUGGGUUGAGGGUAGGUGGAGAAGAAGCGCCGGCUAACUACGUGCCAGCAGCCGCGGUAAUACGUAGGGCGCGAGCGUUGUCCGGAAUUAUUGGGCGUAAAGGGCUUGUAGGCGGCUUGUUGCGCCUGCUGUGAAAACGCGGGGCUUAACUUCGCGCGUGCAGUGGGUACGGGCAGGCUUGAGUGUGGUAGGGGUGACUGGAAUUCCAGGUGUAGCGGUGGAAUGCGCAGAUAUCUGGAGGAACACCGAUGGCGAAGGCAGGGCACUGGGGCAUUACUGACGCUGAGGAGCGAAAGCAUGGGUAGCGAACAGG
Molecule: ribosomal RNA, 420 nt
Filed under: bacterium
Lineage: Bacteria
Description: partial 16S ribosomal RNA
Rfam family: Bacterial small subunit ribosomal RNA
Source: RNAcentral